RNAcentral lists this transfer RNA (74 nucleotides) under Seinonella peptonophila. It matches the Rfam family "tRNA". From Rfam's summary of the family: Transfer RNA (tRNA) molecules are approximately 80 nucleotides in length. Their secondary structure includes four short double-helical elements and three loops (D, anti-codon, and T loops). Further hydrogen bonds mediate the characteristic L-shaped molecular structure. tRNAs have two regions of fundamental functional importance: the anti-codon, which is responsible for specific mRNA codon recognition, and the 3' end, to which the tRNAs corresponding amino acid is attached (by aminoacyl-tRNA synthetases). tRNAs cope with the degeneracy of the genetic code in two manners: having more than one tRNA (with a specific anti-codon) for a particular amino acid; and 'wobble' base-pairing, i.e. permitting non-standard base-pairing at the 3rd anti-codon position. The record is from Rfam by way of RNAcentral. Lineage: Bacteria; Bacillati; Bacillota; Bacilli; Caryophanales; Thermoactinomycetaceae.
GGCGGUGUAGCUCAGUAGGCUAGAGCGUACGGUUCAUACCCGUAAGGUCAGGGGUUCGAGGCCCUUCACCGCUA